RNAcentral lists this transfer RNA (81 nucleotides) under Podarcis lilfordi (Lilford's wall lizard). RNAcentral's name for it is "tRNA.Lys". The stretch from base 11 to 81 matches the Rfam family "tRNA". From Rfam's summary of the family: Transfer RNA (tRNA) molecules are approximately 80 nucleotides in length. Their secondary structure includes four short double-helical elements and three loops (D, anti-codon, and T loops). Further hydrogen bonds mediate the characteristic L-shaped molecular structure. tRNAs have two regions of fundamental functional importance: the anti-codon, which is responsible for specific mRNA codon recognition, and the 3' end, to which the tRNAs corresponding amino acid is attached (by aminoacyl-tRNA synthetases). tRNAs cope with the degeneracy of the genetic code in two manners: having more than one tRNA (with a specific anti-codon) for a particular amino acid; and 'wobble' base-pairing, i.e. permitting non-standard base-pairing at the 3rd anti-codon position. The record is from RNAcentral. Lineage: Eukaryota; Metazoa; Chordata; Lepidosauria; Squamata; Lacertidae.
GCCUCCCCUUGUCUGAGGCUCAAUCAGUACAGCAUGAGACUCUUAAUCUCAGGGCCAUGGGUUCGAGCCCCAUGUUGGGCA